CCGACCUUAGCUCAGUUGGUAGAGCGGAGGACUGUAGUAGUUGCAGAUAAAUCCUUAGGUCGCUGGUCGAAUCCGGCAGGUCGGA
RNAcentral lists this transfer RNA (85 nucleotides) under Triticum urartu. It matches the Rfam family "tRNA". From Rfam's summary of the family: Transfer RNA (tRNA) molecules are approximately 80 nucleotides in length. Their secondary structure includes four short double-helical elements and three loops (D, anti-codon, and T loops). The record is from Rfam by way of RNAcentral. Lineage: Eukaryota; Viridiplantae; Streptophyta; Magnoliopsida; Poales; Poaceae.